Molecule: unclassified non-coding RNA, 327 nt
Filed under: soil metagenome
Description: partial contains 5.8S ribosomal RNA, internal transcribed spacer 2, and large subunit ribosomal RNA
Rfam family: 5.8S ribosomal RNA (bases 1-120)
Source: RNAcentral
GAUGAAGAACGUAGCGAAAUGCGAUAAGUAGUGUGAAUUGCAGAAUUCAGUGAAUCAUCGAAUCUUUGAACGCACAUUGCGCCCCUUGGUAUUCCGGGGGGCAUGCCUGUUCGAGCGUCAUUUCAACCCUCAAGCUCAGCUUGGUAUUGAGUCCAUGUCAGUAAUGGCAGGCUCUAAAAUCAGUGGCGGCGCCGCUGGGUCCUGAACGUAGUAAUAUCUCUCGUUACAGGUUCUCGGUGUGCUUCUGCCAAAACCCAAAUUUUCUAUGGUUGACCUCGGAUCAGGUAGGGAUACCCGCUGAACUUAAGCAUAUCAAUAAGCGGAGGA